AGUGAACGCUGGCGGCGUGCCUAAUACAUGCAAGUCGAACGAUGAAGCUUCUAGCUUGCUAGAAUGCUGAUUAGUGGCGCACGGGUGAGUAACGCAUAGGUUAUGUGCCUCUUAGUUUGGGAUAGCCAUUGGAAACGAUGAUUAAUACCAGAUACUCCCUACGGGGGAAAGAUUUAUCGCUAAGAGAUCAGCCUAUGUCCUAUCAGCUUGUUGGUAAGGUAAUGGCUUACCAAGGCUAUGACGGGUAUCCGGCCUGAGAGGGUGAACGGACACACUGGAACUGAGACACGGUCCAGACUCCUACGGGAGGCAGCAGUAGGGAAUAUUGCUCAAUGGGGGAAACCCUGAAGCAGCAACGCCGCGUGGAGGAUGAAGGUUUUAGGAUUGUAAACUCCUUUUGUUAGAGAAGAUAAUGACGGUAUCUAACGAAUAAGCACCGGCUAACUCCGUGCCAGCAGCCGCGGUAAUACGGAGGGUGCAAGCGUUACUCGGAAUCACUGGGCGUAAAGAGCGCGUAGGCGGGAUAGUCAGUCAGGUGUGAAAUCCUAUGGCUUAACCAUAGAACUGCAUUUGAAACUACUAUUCUAGAGUGUGGGAGAGGUAGGUGGAAUUCUUGGUGUAGGGGUAAAAUCCGUAGAGAUCAAGAGGAAUACUCAUUGCGAAGGCGACCUGCUGGAACAUUACUGACGCUGAUUGCGCGAAAGCGUGGGGAGCAAACAGGAUUAGAUACCCUGGUAGUCCACGCCCUAAACGAUGGAUGCUAGUUGUUGGAGGGCUUAGUCUCUCCAGUAAUGCAGCUAACGCAUUAAGCAUCCCGCCUGGGGAGUACGGUCGCAAGAUUAAAACUCAAAGGAAUAGACGGGGACCCGCACAAGCGGUGGAGCAUGUGGUUUAAUUCGAAGAUACACGAAGAACCUUACCUAGGCUUGACAUUGAGAGAAUCCGCUAGAAAUAGUGGAGUGUCUGGCUUGCCAGACCUUGAAAACAGGUGCUGCACGGCUGUCGUCAGCUCGUGUCGUGAGAUGUUGGGUUAAGUCCCGCAACGAGCGCAACCCCCUUUCUUAGUUGCUAACAGGUCAUGCUGAGAACUCUAAGGAUACUGCCUCCGUAAGGAGGAGGAAGGUGGGGACGACGUCAAGUCAUCAUGGCCCUUACGCCUAGGGCUACACACGUGCUACAAUGGGGUGCACAAAGAGAAGCAAUACUGCGAAGUGGAGCCAAUCUUCAAAACACCUCUCAGUUCGGAUUGUAGGCUGCAACUCGCCUGCAUGAAGCUGGAAUCGCUAGUAAUCGCAAAUCAGCCAUGUUGCGGUGAAUACGUUCCCGGGUCUUGUACUCACCGCCCGUCACACCAUGGGAGUUGUGUUUGCCUUAAGUCAGGAUGCUAAAUUAGCUACUGCCCACGGCACACACAGCGACUGGGGUG
RNAcentral lists this ribosomal RNA (1426 nucleotides) under Helicobacter pylori. RNAcentral's name for it is "bacterial SSU rRNA". It matches the Rfam family "Bacterial small subunit ribosomal RNA". The record is from RNAcentral. Lineage: Bacteria; Pseudomonadati; Campylobacterota; Epsilonproteobacteria; Campylobacterales; Helicobacteraceae.